This 274-nucleotide ribosomal RNA is filed under the name uncultured bacterium. RNAcentral's name for it is "partial 16S ribosomal RNA". It matches the Rfam family "Bacterial small subunit ribosomal RNA", at positions 523 to 796 of the family's 1533-position model. The record is from RNAcentral.
CUACAGAGGGUGCGAGCGUUAAUCGGAAUUACUGGGCGUAAAGCGCGCGUAGGCGGCUACUUAAGUCAGAUGUGAAAUCCCCGGGCUCAACCUGGGAACUGCAUCUGAUACUGGGUAGCUAGAGUUUUGGAGAGGGAAGUAGAAUUUCAGGUGUAGCGGUGAAAUGCAUAGAGAUCUGAAGGAAUACCAGUGGCGAAGGCGACUUCCUGGCCAAAAACUGACGCUGAGGUGCGAAAGCGUGGGUAGCAAACGGGAUUAGAUACCCUAGUAGUCC